RNAcentral lists this long non-coding RNA (1338 nucleotides) under Gossypium barbadense (sea-island cotton). Its description in RNAcentral is "long non-coding RNA (GBAR_LNC001067)". Lineage: Eukaryota; Viridiplantae; Streptophyta; Magnoliopsida; Malvales; Malvaceae. The record is from RNAcentral.
UGCAAGUGAUCGGGGAAAAGAGAAAGUUAUCGACUAAAUUACAAAAAUAGUCGUUUUGCAUCCGAGGUAAGUUAUAUGUAAAUAAUAGUUAUAUUUGUAUAAAUUGUGAAUUAUAUUUGAUAUGUGAAUUAAUAUUGAAUGUGGAAGGAAAGUUGUUCAUGAAUUAGUCAAGUGAUAAAGUGUUGAAAAUAAAGUGUUAAGUGUAAAUUCCCGGUUGAACUUAGGAAUAGAAUUGGAUACAAGUGACAUGUCACUAGAGACCAGUGUUACAGUGUUACAGUGAGUCCCGGGUGCUGGGUGAUCUAGCAUGUGUUGCAGACACCUGACAGCUUGUGUGAGCAGAACCGUGGACAUUUCCAGUGUUAUUGAUCAGUGGUAGCUUCGGCUACAUUUCAGUGGUAGCUUUGGCUACAUCCAGUGGUAGCUUCGGCUACAUAUCAGUGGUAGCUUCGGCUACAUAUCAGUGUGGCACUUAUGUGCUAAAUCUCUACGUAUCCGUGUAUAUUCCAAGUGUUCAACGGGAUUAAUAAUGAAUUAAAGUGAAUAUGAAAUGUUAAGUGUGAAAAUGUAUAUGCAAGUGAAUUGGUAAGAUUGUGUAUGUGUAAGUGAUUGAAAUUGCUAAGAAAUGUUUUGAUUAGUUAUAUGUUAAAAGUGUUAAUUAUUAAUUGAGUAAUUAUUGUUUACAUGUAACUUACUAAGCUAUUUAUAGCUUACACAUCUCUUUCUUUCCUUUGUUUUAUAGUGAUUUGAACUUGAUCGAAUAGUGGACCGUCGGAGCUCGUAUCACACUAUCAUAACCAUCUCGGUAUUAUGUGCUUUUCAAAAUGUUUAAACUAUGGCAUGUAUAGAGUCUUAAUCAUUUUGAGCAUGUCCAAAUGAUAUGGCUAAUGUUAGCUAUUGAAGUAGUUAUUAAAGAAUAUGUUUUGGAGUUAUGUAUGUGUAAAUGGUAACUAAUUCAAAGAAGCAGUUUCUUUGACAGCAGCAGUGACGUGAAUGUGAAAAAUCACCAUAAAUAGUAGAAAUGGAAUUAGAGGGUGAAUGAUAUAUAGAAUUAAAGCUUAUCAAGUCUAUUUUUACAUGAAAGAAACGGUGUAGGCAAAGGAAUUUUAUAUUUUGAGAUAUUUAAAUUUUAGUGAGACAGGGUCAGAAUGGUUUUUGAAGUCCCCUGUUCUAACUUUAGAAAAUCAUUAUAAAUUGUACAGAAAUAAUUAUAGGUCAUAAUUUAUAUGUUUAGAUUCCUUAGUGAGUCUAUUUUCAAAAUAAAUUAAUGGUAACCUUAUAUGAAUUCUGUACAAUUAGAUAUUUGAUUUUUAGCGCCAAUAGGUCAGAUCUGUCGAG